CCUACGGGAGGCAGCAGUGGGGAAUAUUGCGCAAUGGGCGAAAGCCUGACGCAGCGACGCCGCGUGAGUGAAGAAGGCCUUCGGGUCGUAAAGCUUAGUCCCUUGGAGCGAAGUUUCACUUCCGAACAGGGGGUGCAAUUGACGGUACCAAGAGGAAGCGCCGGCCAACUCUGUGCCAGCAGCCGCGGUAAGACAGAGGGCGCAAGCGUUGCUCGGAAUUACUGGGCGUAAAGCGUGUGUAGGCGGUCUGGUAAGUUACAUGUGAAAUGUUUCCGCUCAACGGAGAAAUGGCAUGUAAUACUAGCAGGCUAGAGUGUGGGAGAGGAGGGUGGAAUUCCCGGUGUAGAGGUGAAAUUCGUAGAUAUCGGGAGGAAUACCAGUGGCGAAGGCGGCCCUCUGGAACAUAACUGACGCUCAAACACGAAAGCACAGGGAGCAAACAGGAUUAGAUACCCUAGUAGU
This 462-nucleotide ribosomal RNA is filed under the name uncultured bacterium. RNAcentral describes it as "partial 16S ribosomal RNA". It matches the Rfam family "Bacterial small subunit ribosomal RNA", at positions 338 to 794 of the family's 1533-position model. The record is from RNAcentral.